This 341-nucleotide long non-coding RNA is filed under the name Elaeis guineensis (African oil palm). Its description in RNAcentral is "long non-coding RNA (EGUI_LNC025367)". Lineage: Eukaryota; Viridiplantae; Streptophyta; Magnoliopsida; Arecales; Arecaceae. The record is from RNAcentral.
AUGGUGGACUCCUUGGCCAAAAACUCCUCAAAGAAAGAUGACGAAGGGUGGUCCUUGGCUGGAGACGAGGUGUUAAUUAAGGUGGACCACUCUGAGCCCUGGAGCUAGACCUACAAAAAAUUUCCAAUCGAAAUAUUUUUCGAUGGACAUCUUUUGACGCUCAAAUUAGUUGGAAAUUAAAGAAUAGGGAGAGAGAGUAGUGGAGCAUCUCGAGGCCUCUUGAGAACUUAUCUGGAUCUCCUUUUCUUCCCUAUUUAUAGAUAGAGAAUAAGAGUCGUAUACACCGGAGAAACUAGUUAUUUUUGAAAAGUAUAUAUGGAUCACACUGAUGGGGAUCGCAU